GUUUUCAAUCCUGUUCCUCGGGACCCACUGCUCUGCGCAUUUUGCAUGUGUCCCUCAUCUGACACACUCAUUUGAGUUCAUGGAGCUCUUUCCUAAUGAUCUGAAUCAGCUGUGUAAAUUAGGGAGGCAUGCAAAAUGUGAAGAGAAGUUUGAAAACCACUGCAUUAGAGAGCGUGCAUUUGGGAGCGUUAGGAAAAUGUUCUGUGCUUGCAGUGGUGAAAUUGUUUUUAUUUGAUUUGAUCUUUUGCGCGUAGUGGCGGACGCGUAGAGGCGUUACCAAGGAAGUGACGAGCGCUUCUUCCGGGUCGAAAGGAAAGCUUUCCCGCGUGUGGCAAAUGAAUGGUGAAGGAAAACCCAAUGAAAAUAACCUCUAGGAUGCAAAAAGCAGGAAGAAGUUGAGGUUUUUGAGAAGUUGGUUGACUAAAAGUUGGCAUGGCAGUUGACGGGGCAACUAAAGAGAAGAAGAAGAAGAAGAAGAAAGUUCAGGAUGCAGGAGACACACGUGUGAUGGUGUGGCGUGACGUGUCCGUCCAGACUGAUGUUAAAAACGAAACUUUGGAUGUAAACAUCAGAGAUGGAGAGAAACGGGAGAGCAAUGGGGCUGAGAAGAAGAGGAAGAAGAAAAAGAAAGUGAAGGAGGACGUGGAAGCAAACAGUCCCGUGUGUUACGAUGCGUCCGUCCAGACUUCCGUCAAAACAGAGCGCUCCGAUAUAAACAUCAGUGCUGCUCCUAAGAAGACGAAGAAGAAGAUAGAGCAGGAAGCAGAAGAGAUCGCCAGUGGAGAUCAUUUAGUGUCCAAGAAACAAGGACGUGAAGAAGAGGUGGAAGCUAUAAAGAAGAAAAAGAAGAAAAAGCAAGUAGAGAUGAAAAAAGAAGAGGCCGAUUUAGGACACAGUGUAGAGAUAGUAAAAAAGAAAAAGAAGAGAAAAAUUGAUGAAGAUGUGGCCGAAGAAGAACAAAACAAAGAAUUUGAGGGGGGAGAGGUAAAGAAGAAAAGAAAAAAGCAGAAAGAUUGUAAACAGGAAGCGGUGAAGAAGAAGAAGAGGAAGAAAUCUUCAGCAGUUGAAGAGCCUGAUGACAUUAGCUCCAGUGAAAAGCUGGAGAAGAAGAGCAAGAAGCUAAAGAAGAAACUGAAAGGUGUGGAUGAAGGUGAGAGUCAUCCUUGCGCCAACGGAGGACAGGUGAGCUCAGCGGACAAGAAGAUGAGAAAGAAAGUCAAAGCUAAGACUGAGACUGAGGAGGAAGCGGUGGGAAAGAAGGGCAGAAAGAAAACCCCAGAAAAGGUUAGAAAGAAAAAGCCUAAAGAAGAGCAUCUUGAGGCAGUCGUGGAGAGAGCAAGUAAAGCGUCUGAUGUUGUGUUCCUGUCGGAAAAGCCUGGAAAUCAGGACAAAGUUUCUAUAGAUCAGGUACAACACCUGCUGAUCACUGAUGUUUUACACACACACACACACACACACAUACAUAUAUAUAUAUAUAUGUCAUGUUGA
Molecule: long non-coding RNA, 1488 nt
Filed under: Sinocyclocheilus grahami
Lineage: Eukaryota; Metazoa; Chordata; Actinopteri; Cypriniformes; Cyprinidae
Description: lncRNA (ENSSGRG00000042058.1)
Source: RNAcentral